GUAGGGAAUCUUCCACAAUGGACGAAAGUCUGAUGGAGCAACGCCGCGUGAGUGAAGAAGGGUUUCGGCUCGUAAAGCUCUGUUGGUAGUGAAGAAAGAUAGAGGUAGUAACUGGCCUUUAUUUGACGGUAAUUACUUAGAAAGUCACGGCUAACUACGUGCCAGCAGCCGCGGUAAUACGUAGGUGGCAAGCGUUGUCCGGAUUUAUUGGGCGUAAAGCGAGUGCAGGCGGUUCAAUAAGUCUGAUGUGAAAGCCUUCGGCUCAACCGGAGAAUUGCAUCAGAAACUGUUGAACUUGAGUGCAGAAGAGGAGAGUGGAACUCCAUGUGUAGCGGUGGAAUGCGUAGAUAUAUGGAAGAACACCAGUGGCGAAGGCGGCUCUCUGGUCUGCAACUGACGCUGAGGCUCGAAAGCAUGGGUAGCGAACAGGAUUAGAAACCCUAGUAGUCC
RNAcentral lists this ribosomal RNA (450 nucleotides) under uncultured bacterium. RNAcentral's name for it is "partial 16S ribosomal RNA". It matches the Rfam family "Bacterial small subunit ribosomal RNA", at positions 354 to 796 of the family's 1533-position model. The record is from RNAcentral. RNAcentral also lists the same sequence under 1 other name.